UUCAGGUGCUCGCGCCUCGACCUUUCUUAACCAUACACCUGUGAACCAUUGAGGGAGAGGAGGACGCGAGUUCUCCUUUUCUCUUUUUUACACAUACCCCAGUGACAAACAUUGAACGUGAUAGUGCCUUCGGGCCAUAAUCAAAUAUACAACUUUUAACAACGGAUCUCUUGGCUCUCGCAUCGAUGAAGAACGCAGCGAAAUGCGAUAAGUAAUGUGAAUUGCAGAAUUCAGUGAAUCAUCGAAUCUUUGAACGCACCUUGCGCUCCUUGGUAUUCCGAGGAGCACGCCUGUUCGAGUGUCGUGAAAUUCUCAAGCUGGAUAGUUUAUUCUGUCCAGUUUGGAUUUGGGCUCUGCCGUCUCCUUUAAUGCGAACGGCUGGCCUUAAAAGUAUUAGCUGACCCUAGUUUGUGGGAUUGGUUCUACUCAGCGUGAUAAUUUUAUGACCGCUGAGGACAUCUUUCGGGAUGGCCAGUGCUGCCUAGGAUUGCUUCUAGUCCUGGCGUUGAGAGUUCGCUCUCGACCCAUCACUU
RNAcentral lists this ribosomal RNA (533 nucleotides) under fungal sp. FW4. RNAcentral's name for it is "eukaryotic LSU rRNA". The stretch from base 151 to 304 matches the Rfam family "5.8S ribosomal RNA". The record is from RNAcentral. Lineage: Eukaryota; Fungi.